CACCUGCGCAUCAGAAUUCA
Molecule: small nuclear RNA, 20 nt
Filed under: Arabidopsis thaliana (thale cress)
Lineage: Eukaryota; Viridiplantae; Streptophyta; Magnoliopsida; Brassicales; Brassicaceae
Description: snRNA_02984
Source: RNAcentral